CACCAUGGGCUGUGCAAUGGUGAGGCUAACCCUCAUAGAAGACUGGGCUACGAUUAAGGUCCUGAUGCCCUGGACCACCGCACCCUGCGUGCUGUUCCUAGAAGCGGAACCCAGGGGGGUCGCAUACGUACCUGACCUGACCAGCACAGACCAGUUGUUAACACCGCUAGGUUUCCCCUAGCCUGGCCGAUCAGGGCUGAAGUUGGGUCUCACAUUUCUCCCUCCUAUAGGGUUAAGGAAUGACCAGGACCAGCCCCGACAAGGCGUUGCCUUCCCGGACACCCCGAGGGCAGGAAGGUCCAGGGCCAGCCCCGACAGAGCGUUGCCUCCCUGGACCCCCAAGACCUCCAUACUAUCGCUAUGACUAACAGAACAAGAGUCCCCGAGAGUCCCCUCCAGAAGCGACCAGGACCAGCCCCGACAGAGCGUUGCCUUCCCAGUCACCUCAGAGGUGAUCGGGUUCCCAAAAGAAAGGGGAAUUUUUUGGAGGAGAAAUACAGUAAGUAAGGGUGAUUGUACUGAUAAACUGAUCCAGAUGAAUUAAGUUGUCUAGGGAGAGAGAGGGACAGAGAGAGAGA
Molecule: long non-coding RNA, 578 nt
Organism: Lates calcarifer (barramundi perch)
Lineage: Eukaryota; Metazoa; Chordata; Actinopteri; Centropomidae
Exons: 3
Source: RefSeq, a predicted model, not a curated record